Molecule: small nuclear RNA, 104 nt
Filed under: Chinchilla lanigera (long-tailed chinchilla)
Lineage: Eukaryota; Metazoa; Chordata; Mammalia; Rodentia; Chinchillidae
Source: RNAcentral
GUGCUUACUACAACAGCACAUAUGCUGAACUGAAUAGUGCAGAGAAGAUGAGCAGGUUCCUGAGCAAAGAUGGCCAGUUAACUCAUGCAGCACCCAAUAUCCUU